GAGCAAUGGCUUUGCAGCAUGGGAGCCCCAAGUGUGUGAGUCCGUGCUGUGCAACCCUGGUUGACAAUGGCAAAGCCAUUUAGACCUCGGUUUCCUGGCACAAUGAAUAGUUAUUGAAUCUGCGUCUGUCCAGGGGACGGGGACAGAAAAAAGUCUUUGACUUGGAUCUCCACGUGAGGAAAUGGCCACUACUCCCUAAAGUGAAGGAAAAGAAACACAGGGAGGAGCCAGAGGGGCUCAGAUGCAGGGCCCAGGGAGCGGUCAGGUAAUUCCACCUGGGGAGGAGGUGGACGCUCUCUCACUUUGCACCCUCUCCUAAGGUGGGGAAGUUGUGGCCCAACAGGCACCCUUCCCUUCACCCCCUAGCAGUUGAGGAUGGCUGGGCUUUGAGAGAUUUCCUGUGUUGACCUGAAAUGCAAAAAGGCAGCUGCCUGGCCGGGACAAAGCACCUCAGGGUCCUCAUUGUCCUCCUCCCUCCUGCCCUGGAAAUCCCCCCACCCCUGCCCAAAGACUACACGUGUCUCCAUUAGCAGAGCAUUAUUUUGCAAGAGAAGCGUGUUCCUUUUCUCAAUAGGAAGGAAGAAAUAAAUGAAGGCACCAGCCAGGCCGGAGAAACUUGCAAGUCGCUGUGACUGCUUCGGAUCCAGCACACCCCACCCACCUCGGGCUGUGGACGCCACCUGCAGCAGCCCGGGGAAGACGGAGGAAGAGGCGCUGGCUGCGGAGCAGGUCCUUGGCAAAGAGCGGAAGGUGACGGGGCGCAGGGAGCGCCUGCUCUUAGGAUCCUGCCUCUCAGCUGAGGAGGGAGCAAUUCAAGUUUUAAUAAUCUCAGGCAUAUGAAUGAUGCAAACUUGCAACAGCGUUUGAAAGUGCACUUAUUUAAACUUCUUUUUCCUCUAAAUAGCUUUGCGACUGUCGACCGGUAAAUUUUCCUUUUUAUUUCAUCACAUUCAUCGUUUGCCCUCUUGCCAGCAGGGACCCCACAAUGGCGACAAAUGGGUUCUCCGGGGCAAAUGGCAAAAGAGAGGAAGUUUCCCGUCGGACUUUCCCAAGCCCCCCUCUCCCCGCCCCUUCUUGCACCUGGACCUUCUGAGGCUGUCGCACCCCUCCCCUGGGCGGGGCCGGCACUAGGGAUACUGGAUUUCUCCUACUCUUCCCGCCCCUGGAUUCUUUCAGCCCUCACCCCCUCCCAGGAAAGAGGAAGAGAAGCAGCGGUGACGAGGACAGGCGGUGGUUGCCUACCCAGGAAUCCGAGGAAAGAAAGCACAGUUUUGCCGGUUCUCCCAAAAGGGCAGUUUUGGAGGUGGGCGUGGCACCAGUGCCCAUGGAGGCAAGGGUGGCGGCCUGCCUACUCUUGUUGUCUGAAUCACACCACAUUAACUGCAGGUGGGCAAGAAGACCACAGGCCCUGUGCGCUGGCCCUCCCCCGCUCUGCCACCAAGUGCACGUCUCCACCCGCAGAAGCCCACCGAGUCAUUUCCCACCCUGAACCUUCCCGAGGCGGCCCAGCUGUCAGGAGAUGGACCGUGGGCCGGGCGCAAGGACGCCUUGGACUCUCUGGGGCAGGCUGCCAGCUGCCCUCCCGACUGAGCCGCGAGUGCCACAGUCCAUAUCUAAACUCUGGGGUCCCGUGGGAGAAGAGCCAGGUCCCUCGGGGGCCGGCAGCAGAUGCACCUCACUCGAUGCGACCUGCCCGGGACCUGUUGGCCGCCGCCUUUUGUGUGCGGCUGCUCGAGCCCUCGAGAGGCAGGCGGAGAGGACCCACCGGGGACCAGUGCUCUGCCCUGCGAAGCGCGCGACGGGGAGGUGCUCCCGGAAAGCGGACAAGUUGGGGAGCCACCAUGUUGGAGGCACAGGCCAGCUCCACAUGGGUUGGCGUUUUUUCGCCAGCAAAGGGCGGAGGAAGAGGACUCCAAGUGAAGGCAGGCUGACAUUUCUAGUGCAAUACUGCCA
This is a long non-coding RNA of Equus caballus (horse), 1953 nucleotides long. The record is from Ensembl. Lineage: Eukaryota; Metazoa; Chordata; Mammalia; Perissodactyla; Equidae.